This 162-nucleotide ribosomal RNA is filed under the name uncultured bacterium. Its description in RNAcentral is "partial 16S ribosomal RNA". It matches the Rfam family "Bacterial small subunit ribosomal RNA", at positions 305 to 504 of the family's 1533-position model. The record is from RNAcentral.
CCGCGGUAAAACCGGUUACUCCUACGGGAGGCAGCAGUGGGGAAUAUUGCGCAAUGGGCGAAAGCCUGACGCAGCGACGCCGCGUGGGGGAUGAAGCUUCUCGGAGUGUAAACCCCUUUCGACCCGGACGCGGUACGGGUAUAAGAAGCCCCGGCUAACUAC